RNAcentral lists this ribosomal RNA (292 nucleotides) under uncultured bacterium. RNAcentral's name for it is "partial 16S ribosomal RNA". It matches the Rfam family "Bacterial small subunit ribosomal RNA", at positions 505 to 796 of the family's 1533-position model. The record is from RNAcentral.
GUGCCAGCAGCCGCGGUAAUACGGAGGGGGCAAGCGUUGUUCGGAUUUACUGGGCGUAAAGCGCACGUAGGCGGCAGGGCAAGUCAAAGGUGAAAGCCCUCAGCUCAACUGAGGAAUUGCCUUUGAAACUGCUCUGCUUGAGUCCGGGAGGGGGGAGCGGAAUUCCCAGUGUAGCGGUGAAAUGCGUAGAUACUGGGAGGAACACCGGUGGCGAAGGCGGCUCCCUGGACCGGCACUGACGCUGAGGUGCGAAAGCGUGGGUAGCAAACAGGAUUAGAAACCCCAGUAGUCC